This 628-nucleotide ribosomal RNA is filed under the name uncultured rumen bacterium. RNAcentral describes it as "bacterial SSU rRNA". It matches the Rfam family "Bacterial small subunit ribosomal RNA", at positions 778 to 1407 of the family's 1533-position model. The record is from RNAcentral.
UUAGAUACCCUGGUAGUCCGCACGGUAAACGAUGGAUGCCCGCUGUAUUGCGAUAUACUGUGAGCGGCCAAGAGAAAUCGUUAAGCAUCCCACCUGGGGAGUACGCCGGCAACGGUGAAACUCAAAGGAAUUGACGGGGGCCCGCACAAGCGGAGGAACAUGUGGUUUAAUUCGAUGAUACGCGAGGAACCUUACCCGGGCUUGAACUGCAGCUGAACGAUCCAGAGAUGGUGAGGCCCUUCGGGGCAGCUGUGGAGGUGCUGCAUGGUUGUCGUCAGCUCGUGCCGUGAGGUGUCGGCUUAAGUGCCAUAACGAGCGCAACCCUUUUCUUUAGUUGCCAUCAGGUGAUGCUGGGCACAAAGAAGAUACUGCCACCGUAAGGUGUGAGGAAGGUGGGGAUGACGUCAAAUCAGCACGGCCCUUACGUCCGGGGCUACACACGUGUUACAAUGGGUGGUACAGAGAGCAGGUCGUCUGCAAAUGCGAUCAAAUCCUUAAAGCCAUCCUCAGUUCAGGAAUGGGGUCUGCAACCCGACCCCAUGAAGCUGGAUUCGCUAGUAAUCGCGCAUCAGCCAUGGCGCGGUGAUUGCGUUCCCGGGCCUUGUACACACCGCCGUAAACACCAAUA